This 261-nucleotide ribosomal RNA is filed under the name uncultured bacterium. RNAcentral's name for it is "partial 16S ribosomal RNA". It matches the Rfam family "Bacterial small subunit ribosomal RNA", at positions 524 to 776 of the family's 1533-position model. The record is from RNAcentral.
GACGUAGGAGGCGAGCGUUGUCCCGGAGUUACUGGGCGUAAAGCGCGCGCAGGCGGUCACGCAGGUCAUCUGUGAAAAGCACCCGGCUCAACCGGGUUGUUGCGGGUGAAACCCGCGUGACUUGAGGUCGGGAGGGGUCGGUGGAAUUCCCGGUGUAGUGGUGAAAUGCGUAGAGAUCGGGGAGGAACACCCCGUAGCGAAGGGCGGCCGACUGGACCGAUCCUGACGCUGAGACGCGAAAAGCGUGGGGGAGCAAACAGG